This 1000-nucleotide ribosomal RNA is filed under the name uncultured Bacteroidota bacterium. Its description in RNAcentral is "bacterial SSU rRNA". It matches the Rfam family "Bacterial small subunit ribosomal RNA", at positions 8 to 1021 of the family's 1533-position model. Lineage: Bacteria; Pseudomonadati; Bacteroidota. The record is from RNAcentral.
AUAGUUUGAUCAUGGCUCCGAAGAACGUUUUGGGAGGCUUGGACGGGCAGGUCGAGGGGUAACAUGAGGUAGCAAUACUUUGAUGACGACCGGCGUACGGGUGAGUAACGCGUAUGCAACCUACCCUGUACUGGGGGAUAGCCCGGAGAAAUUCGGAUUAAUACCCCAUAAAGAUAUUUGGAGGCAUCUUGGAAUAUUUAAAGUUUCGACGGUACGGGAUGGGCAUGCGUAACAUUAGCUACUUGGUAGGGUAACGGCCUACCAAGGCGACCAUGUUUAUGGGUCCUGACAGGGUGAUCCCCCACCCUGGGACUGAGACACGGACCACACUCCUACGGGAGGCAGCAGUGAGGAAUAUUGGUCAAUGGGCGCAAGCCUGAACCAGCCAUCCCGCGUGCAGGAAGACGGCGCUAUGCGUUGUAAACUGCUUUUCCAGGGGAAGAAAACUCCCGAUGUAUCGGGACUUGCCGGUACCCUGGGAAUAAGCAUCGGCUAACUCCGUGCCAGCAGCCGCGGUAAUACGGAGGAUGCGAGCGUUAUCCGGAUUUAUUGGGUUUAAAGGGUGCGUAGGCGGAUUACUAAGUCAGUGGUGAAAACCUGCAGCUUAACUGUAGACGUGCCAUUGAUACUGUUAGUCUUGAGUACGGUCAAGGUAGGCGGAAUGUGUAAUGUAGCGGUGAAAUGCUUAGAUAUUACACAGAACACCGAUUGCGAAGGCAGCUUACUGGGCCAUUACUGACGCUGAUGCACGAAAGCGUGGGGAGCGAACAGGAUUAGAUACCCUGGUAGUCCACGCCGUAAACGAUGAUCACUCGCUGUUGGCGAUACACAGUCAGCGGCUAAGCAAAAGCAUUAAGUGAUCCACCUGGGGAGUACGGCCGCAAGGCUGAAACUCAAGGAAUUUGACGGGGCCCGCACAGCGAGACAUGUGUUUAUUCGAUGAUCGCGAGACUACUGGCUUAAAUGUACAGUGCAUUCCGAGAAAUCGGGAUUUCCUUCG